Drosophila pseudoobscura is the source of this 943-nucleotide long non-coding RNA. RefSeq lists it as uncharacterized. The record is from RefSeq and is a predicted model, not a curated record. The transcript is spliced from 3 exons. NCBI's taxonomy places the organism in Eukaryota, Metazoa, Arthropoda, Insecta, Diptera, Drosophilidae.
ACUCAAAUCGAUCACCCAAGCGACCAUCGCUCAGCAACUUACAUAUGUAUGUAUGUAUGUCCCUCAGCGUGUGGCCAAGGUCUAAGAGAUUAUUCCUGCGUAUAAUAAAUAUGUAUAUAUAUACAGACUUACAUACUUGUUUUUCGAUCAAUCGCUUCAACGGCAAUUAGAUGCAUAUUAACAUAAAUAGGCAGACUCCGGUUUUCGCUAACUUUUGCGUGUUAUUUUUUUAAGUGCUUAAUUUUUCACAAAUACAUAUGUAUGUAUUUGCUAUCGACAUGUUUCAUUUUCGCUAGCUGCGGGAUAUAUGUACAUAGCUGUCUUUACCCAGAUGAUCUGUUACGCCCUUGUUACGAGCACAACUUCUGCUGGUGUCGCACGGGCCACUUGACGGGAGGAAAAUGUUUCCGUUUUGAGAAGGGGAGCACCCACUUACAUAUGUGAUUGACAGAAUUUUUGUGAAAGUAAAACCCGGAGCCUGCCUGAAAAUUUGCGAUUCAGUGAGCCAAAAUUUAUGAUUCUGACUUAAAUAUGUACAUAUGUAUGUAUGUAAAAUGUAUACCAAUCUUUAUGGUUGGCAACAUGUGGCACAAAAUAAUAAUACCCUCUGCAAGAGUAUAAGCAAAAUACAAUUUACGCAUACAUACAUAUAUGUAUGUACAUAUGCCUGAAUUUUGUAUGGCCCGGGCCCCUAUCGGGGUCUUAUAUGAGCAUGCAUGGAAAAUCUGGGGUUGUACUUUCGAAUAGGUAUAAUUAUACAUGUGUAGAUACAUAUGUACUAUACAAAUAUGGUCCCUUCCGCCGAAUGGUCAACCAGGACCGAUAAUCAUGUUGAUAAUUAUCGGAUUUUCGUAUGUGUGAUUAUAAGAAAUGUAUACAAUUCUAAAAAAAUAAAAUAAAGGAAUUUGUAUAUUUAAUUUGGUAUACAUGAAAAAAAUACAUA